AUGUGCCGUAUGCUUUUAUACCCCACAGA
RNAcentral lists this non-coding RNA (29 nucleotides) under Rattus norvegicus (Norway rat). Lineage: Eukaryota; Metazoa; Chordata; Mammalia; Rodentia; Muridae. The record is from RNAcentral.